GGUCAAGUGGCCGAGUGGUCUUAAGGCGGCAGACUUGAAUAAAUAACAAUCCAUCUGCUGGGCUGUGCCCGCGCAGGUUCGAAUCCUGUCUUGACCG
Molecule: transfer RNA, 97 nt
Organism: Rhodotorula sp. JG-1b
Lineage: Eukaryota; Fungi; Basidiomycota; Microbotryomycetes; Sporidiobolales; Sporidiobolaceae
Rfam family: tRNA
About the family: Transfer RNA (tRNA) molecules are approximately 80 nucleotides in length. Their secondary structure includes four short double-helical elements and three loops (D, anti-codon, and T loops). Further hydrogen bonds mediate the characteristic L-shaped molecular structure. tRNAs have two regions of fundamental functional importance: the anti-codon, which is responsible for specific mRNA codon recognition, and the 3' end, to which the tRNAs corresponding amino acid is attached (by aminoacyl-tRNA synthetases). tRNAs cope with the degeneracy of the genetic code in two manners: having more than one tRNA (with a specific anti-codon) for a particular amino acid; and 'wobble' base-pairing, i.e. permitting non-standard base-pairing at the 3rd anti-codon position.
Source: Rfam